AAAGGGACAGGAAAAAUGUUUAAGUGGGAUCCACACAAACAUGAUAUUAUUGGUUUUUCAUUUCACUUCUCUGAGCUUUAGCAAAGUCAA
RNAcentral lists this non-coding RNA (90 nucleotides) under Paramoeba aestuarina. The record is from RNAcentral. Lineage: Eukaryota; Discosea; Flabellinia; Dactylopodida; Paramoebidae.